RNAcentral lists this ribosomal RNA (251 nucleotides) under uncultured bacterium. Its description in RNAcentral is "partial small subunit ribosomal RNA". It matches the Rfam family "Bacterial small subunit ribosomal RNA", at positions 26 to 278 of the family's 1533-position model. The record is from RNAcentral.
AGGACGAACGCUGGCGGCGUGCUUAACACAUGCAAGUCGAGCGGUGAUCCUCCUUCGGGAGGUGAUCAGCGGCGAACGGGUGAGUAACACGUGGGCAACCUGCCCCUCACACUGGGAUAAACCUCGGGAAACCGGGGCUAAUACCGGAUACGACCUCGAGCGGCAUCUCUUGAGGUGGAAAGCUCCGACGGUGAGGGAUGGGCCCGCGGCCUAUCAGCUUGUUGGUGGGGUAAUGGCCUACCAAGGCGACG